This is a long non-coding RNA of Puntigrus tetrazona (Sumatra barb), 597 nucleotides long. RefSeq lists it as uncharacterized. The transcript has 4 exons. NCBI's taxonomy places the organism in Eukaryota, Metazoa, Chordata, Actinopteri, Cypriniformes, Cyprinidae. The record is from RefSeq and is a predicted model, not a curated record.
CUGAAUCUGACGUGGAAGAGAGAAGGAGUCCCUAUUCUAGAGAAACACAGACACUCUUUCAGUGAGAGAAACCAAACUCUACACAUCGACAACAUAACCAGCUCUGAUUACGGCACGUACAGCUGUAUUGCUACAAACUCAUACGGACAGUCAGAAAAGCACAUAUGUAUUACUGGUGAGAAUGGGGCUAAAGGUCAAACUCAGUCUGAUCAGAUUGUGCUUUCCAGUGGACUUGCGCUCACAGGUGUUUUGGGACUGUGCAUCGUGUUCUGCUGCCUUUACAAAUAUCAUCACAGUGAUGCAGACCAUGUCCAUGGAAUUUAUCAGGAAGUACCUGACUCUGAAGAGGUGACUUCUCUGUUGUACGUCAACACAGACUUCAUUAAACCAAAAGAUAGCAGUCAGGCCUCGGCUGCAGCUCUGCGCGCUCAGGUCUCUGGUUACUCUGAGGUGGGACUCACAAGCGGAGAAGAAACUGUCGCCCGGCACUGGCUCAUUAAUGAUCAGUCCACGUCGCGUUCUGAUGCUGGAGAGGACAAAUUAUGUUCUACAAUAUUACAUUAAAUAAUAAACAAAAUGCUUUUCAUAAUCUGCAAA